Molecule: ribosomal RNA, 490 nt
Filed under: uncultured Entrophospora
Lineage: Eukaryota; Fungi; Glomeromycota; Glomeromycetes; Entrophosporales; Entrophosporaceae
Description: SSU rRNA
Rfam family: Eukaryotic small subunit ribosomal RNA
Source: RNAcentral
CGCAGCCGCGGUAAUUCCAGCUCCAAUAGCGUAUAUUAAAGUUGUUGCAGUUAAAAAGCUCGUAGUUGAAUUUCGGGAUUGGCGCAUCGGUCGUGCCUCACGGGGUAUGAACUGGUGCAGUCAAUUUCUCACCUUCUGGAGAACCGCGAUGUCCUUAAUUGGAUGCCGCGGGGAACCAGGACCUUUACUUUGAAAAAAUUAGAGUGUUUAAAGCAGGCAUUUUUGCUUGAAUACAUUAGCAUGGAAUAAUAAAAUAGGACGGCAUGGUUCUAUUUUGUUGGUUUCUAGGACCACCGUAAUGAUUAAUAGGGAUAGUUGGGGGCAUUAGUAUUCAAUUGUCAGAGGUGAAAUUCUUGGAUUUAUUGAAGACUAACUACUGCGAAAGCAUUUGCCAAGGAUGUUUUCAUUAAUCAAGAACGAAAGUUAGGGGAUCGAAGACGAUCAGAUACCGUCGUAGUCUUAACCAUAAACUAUGCCGACUAGGAAUCAG